This 439-nucleotide ribosomal RNA is filed under the name uncultured bacterium. RNAcentral describes it as "partial 16S ribosomal RNA". It matches the Rfam family "Bacterial small subunit ribosomal RNA", at positions 339 to 795 of the family's 1533-position model. The record is from RNAcentral.
CUACGGGUUGCAGCAGUGAGGAAUAUUGCACAAUGGGGGGAACCCUGAUGCAGCAACGCCGCGUGGAGGAUGACGCAUUUCGGUGUGUAAACUCCUUUUAUAUGUCAAGGAAAUGACGGUAGCAUAUGAAUAAGCACAGGCUAACUCCGUGCCAGCAGCCGCGGUAAUACGGAGGGUGCAAGCGUUACUCGGAAUCACUGGGCGUAAAGGACGCGUAGGCGGGUUGGAAAGUCAGGUGUGAAAUCCUACAGCUUAACUGUAGAACUGCACUUGAAACUUCUAAUCUAGAGUAUGGGAGGGGGAGAUGGAAUUAGUGGUGUAGGGGUAAAAUCCGUAGAUAUCACUAGGAAUACCUAAAGCGAAGGCGAUCUCCUGGAACAUUACUGACGCUAAGGCGUGAAAGCGUGGGGAGCAAACAGGAUUAGAUACCCGGGUAGUC